GACAGAGGGUGCAAGCGUUGUUCGGAAUUACUGGGCGUAAAGCGCGUGUAGGCAGCUUCGCAAGUCGGGUGUGAAAGCCCUGGGCUCAACCUAGGAAGUGCACUCGAAACUGCGGAGCUUGAAUCUCGGAGAGGGUCGCGGAAUUCUCGGUGUAGAGGUGAAAUUCGUAGAUAUCGAGAGGAACACCGGUGGCGAAGGCGGCGACCUGGACGAUGACUGACGCUGAGACGCGAAAGCGUGGGGAGCAAACAGG
This 253-nucleotide ribosomal RNA is filed under the name uncultured bacterium. Its description in RNAcentral is "partial 16S ribosomal RNA". It matches the Rfam family "Bacterial small subunit ribosomal RNA", at positions 524 to 776 of the family's 1533-position model. The record is from RNAcentral.